CCUACGGGAGGCAGCAGUGGGGAAUAUUGGACAAUGGGCGAAAGCCUGAUCCAGCAAUGCCGCGUGAGUGAUGAAGGCCUUAGGGUUGUAAAGCUCUUUUACCAGGGAUGAUAAUGACAGUACCUGGAGAAUAAGCUCCGGCUAACUCCGUGCCAGCAGCCGCGGUAAUACGGAGGGAGCUAGCGUUGUUCGGAAUUACUGGGCGUAAAGCGUACGUAGGCGGUUAUUCAAGUCAGAGGUGAAAGCCUGGAGCUCAACUCCAGAACUGCCUUUGAAACUAGAUAGCUAGAAUCACGGAGAGGUUAGUGGAAUUCCGAGUGUAGAGGUGAAAUUCGUAGAUAUUCGGAAGAACACCAGUGGCGAAGGCGACUAACUGGACGUGUAUUGACGCUGAGGUACGAAAGCGUGGGGAGCAAACAGGAUUAGAUACCCUGGUAGUCCACGCCGUAAACGAUGAUAACUAGCUGUUCGGUCUCUACGAGACUGAGUGGCGCNGCUACGACAUUAAGUUAUUACCGUCCGUCGGGUAGGUACGGUCGCGAGAAUAAACUAACAAUAGAAGUUAGUACGGCGUGAGACGUCGCCGACGGACGACGACGAGGGAGGAGG
RNAcentral lists this ribosomal RNA (609 nucleotides) under uncultured bacterium. RNAcentral describes it as "bacterial SSU rRNA". The stretch from base 1 to 520 matches the Rfam family "Bacterial small subunit ribosomal RNA", at positions 338 to 873 of the family's 1533-position model. The record is from RNAcentral.